UAGUCCAUGCCGUAAACGAUGAAUGCUACGUGUUGGAGGGUUUCCGCCCUUCAGUGCCGCAGCUAACGCAUUAAGCAUUCCGCCUGGGGAGUACGACCGCAAGGUUGAAACUCAAAGGAAUUGACGGGGGCCCGCACAAGCGGUGGAGCAUGUGGUUUAAUUCGAAGCAACGCGAAGAACCUUACCAGGUCUUGACAUCUUUUGAUCACCUGAGAGAUCAGGUUUCCCCUUCGGGGGCAAAAAUGACAGGUGGUGCAUGGUUGUCGUCAGCUCGUGUCGUGAGAUGUUGGGUUAAGUCCCGCAACGAGCGCAACCCUUAUGACUAGUUGCCAGCAUUUAGUUGGGCACUCUAGUAAGACUGCCGGUGACAAACCGGAGGAAGGUGGGGAUGACGUCAAAUCAUCAUGCCCCUUAUGACCUGGGCUACACACGUGCUACAAUGGAUGGUACAACGAGUUGCGAGACCGCGAGGUCAAGCUAAUCUCUUAAAGCCAUUCUCAGUUCGGACUGUAGGCUGCAACUCGCCUACACGAAGUCGGAAUCGCUAGUAAUCGCGGAUCAGCACGCCGCGGUGGAAUACGUUCCCCGGGCCUUGUACACACCGCCCGUCACACCAUGAGAGUUUUGUAACACCCGAAGCCCGGUGGCGUAACCCCUUU
Molecule: ribosomal RNA, 659 nt
Filed under: Lactobacillus delbrueckii subsp. lactis
Lineage: Bacteria; Bacillati; Bacillota; Bacilli; Lactobacillales; Lactobacillaceae
Description: bacterial SSU rRNA
Rfam family: Bacterial small subunit ribosomal RNA
Source: RNAcentral